AAUCGGUGGCAAUGUGCUUGCCUCGGCUGCAAGAGAGCAGAUGGGCUACACCUUCAAUGCUUUGAAGUCAUAUGUCCCUGAAAUGGUGGAGCUGCUUAUUGACUGUGUUAGGAAUCCUGUUUUUCUUGACUGGGAAGUCAAUGAGCAGCUUUCAAGGGUAAAAGAUGAGAUUAUUGAAGCUUCCAACAACCCCCAUGGGCUGCUUCUGGAAGCUAUCCAUGCUGCUGGUUACUCUGG
This 237-nucleotide unclassified non-coding RNA is filed under the name Hevea brasiliensis (rubber tree). Lineage: Eukaryota; Viridiplantae; Streptophyta; Magnoliopsida; Malpighiales; Euphorbiaceae. The record is from RNAcentral.